GCCUCUACUUGUAAGCUUCUGUUUGAGGAUGAGCCCGCGUACCAUUAGCUUGUUGGUAGGGUAAUGGCCUACCAAGGCUACGAUGGUUAGCUGGUCUGAGAGGAUGAUCAGCCACACUGGAACUGACACACGGUCCAGACUCCUACGGGAGGCAGCAGUGAGGAAUUUUGCGCAAUGGGGGAAACCCUGACGCAGCAACGCCGCGUGAGUGAUGAAGGCUUUCGGGUCGUAAAGCUCUGUCAAGUGGGAAGAACUCGCAUGGUGCUAAUAUCACCAUGUGCUGACGGUACCACUGAAGGAAGCACCGGCUAACUCCGUGCCAGCAGCCGCGGUAAUACGGGGGGUGCAAGCGUUAUUCGGAAUUACUGGGCGUAAAGAGCGCGUAGGCGGUCUUUUAAGUCAGGUGUGAAAGCCCGGGGCUCAACCCCGGAAGUGCACUUGAAACUAUUAGACUUGAGUAUGGGAGAGGGAAGUGGAAUUCCUGGUGUAGCGGUGAAAUGCGUAGAUAUCAGGAGGAACAUCGGUGGCGAAGGCGACUUCCUGGACCAAUACUGACGCUGAGGCGCGAAGGCGUGGGGAGCAAACAGGAUUAGAUACCCUGGUAGUCCACGCAGUAAACGAUGACACUAGGUGUAGCGGGUAUUGACCCCUGCUGUGCCG
Molecule: ribosomal RNA, 660 nt
Filed under: uncultured Desulfobacteraceae bacterium
Lineage: Bacteria; Pseudomonadati; Thermodesulfobacteriota; Desulfobacteria; Desulfobacterales; Desulfobacteraceae
Description: bacterial SSU rRNA
Rfam family: Bacterial small subunit ribosomal RNA
Source: RNAcentral